GGGCUCGUAGUUCAACCGGUAGAACAUUUCGUUUGCAACGAAGAGGUAGGCGGUUCGAGUCCGCCCGAGUCCACUA
This 76-nucleotide transfer RNA is filed under the name bacterium CG2_30_40_12. RNAcentral describes it as "tRNA-Ala". It matches the Rfam family "tRNA". From Rfam's summary of the family: Transfer RNA (tRNA) molecules are approximately 80 nucleotides in length. Their secondary structure includes four short double-helical elements and three loops (D, anti-codon, and T loops). The record is from RNAcentral. RNAcentral also lists the same sequence under 4 other names.